This 422-nucleotide ribosomal RNA is filed under the name uncultured bacterium. RNAcentral describes it as "partial 16S ribosomal RNA". It matches the Rfam family "Bacterial small subunit ribosomal RNA", at positions 360 to 774 of the family's 1533-position model. The record is from RNAcentral.
AAUCUUCCUCAAUGGUCGCAAGUCUGACGGAGCAACGCCGCGCGAUUGAUGAAGGUUUUCUGUUCGUAAAACUCUGUUGUUAGGGAAGAACAAGUAUCGGCGUCACUGCCGUUACCUUGACGGUACCUUACGUUAAAGUUACGGCUCACUACGUGUCAUCAGCCGCGGUAAUACGUAGGUGGCAAGCGUUCUCCGGAAUUAUUGGUCGUAAAGAGAGGGCAGGCGGUCUAUUAAGUCUGAUGUGAAAUCUUACAGCUUAACUGUAAGCAGUCAUUGGAAGCUGGGAGACUUGAGUGCAGAAGAGGAGAGUGGAAUUCCAUGUGUAGCGGUGAAAUGCGUAGAGAUAUGGAGGAACACCAGUGGCGAAGGCGACUCUCUGGUCUGUAACUGACGCUGAGGCGCGAAAGCGUGGGGAUCAAACA